This 585-nucleotide ribosomal RNA is filed under the name uncultured Methylophilus sp. RNAcentral describes it as "bacterial SSU rRNA". It matches the Rfam family "Bacterial small subunit ribosomal RNA", at positions 348 to 927 of the family's 1533-position model. Lineage: Bacteria; Pseudomonadati; Pseudomonadota; Betaproteobacteria; Nitrosomonadales; Methylophilaceae. The record is from RNAcentral.
GCAGCAGUGGGGAAUUUUGGACAAUGGGCGAAAGCCUGAUCCAGCCAUUCCGCGUGAGUGAAGAAGGCCUUCGGGUUGUAAAGCUCUUUCGCAAGGGAAGAAAACUUAUCCUCUAACAUAGGGUGAGGUUGACGGUACCUUGAUAAGAAGCACCGGCUAACUACGUGCCAGCAGCCGCGGUAAUACGUAGGGUGCGAGCGUUAAUCGGAAUUACUGGGCGUAAAGCGUGCGCAGGCGGUUUUGUAAGUCAGAUGUGAAAUCCCCGAGCUCAACUUGGGAACUGCGUCCGAAACUACAAGACUAGAAUAUGUCAGAGGGGGGUAGAAUUCCACGCGUACAGUGAAAUGCGUAGAGAUGUGGAGGAAUACCAAUGGCGAAGGCAGCCCCCUGGGAUAAUAUUGACGCUCAUGCACGAAAGCGUGGGGAGCAAACAGGAUUAGAUACCCUGGUAGUCCACGCCCUAAACGAUGUCUACUAGUUGUUGGGUGCAUUAGUACUCAGUAACCGAAGCUUACGCGUGAAGUUGACCGCCUGGGGAGUCCGGCCGCANGGUUNAACUCAAAGGAAUUGACGGGGAAUCGAAUU